GACGAACGCUGGCGGCGUGCUUAACACAUGCAAGUCGAACGCUGAAGCCCUUUCGGGGGUGGAUGAGUGGCGAACGGGUGAGUAACACGUGGGUAAUCUGCCCUGUACUUCGGGAUAAGCCUUGGAAACGGGGUCUAAUACCGGAUAGGACCUGUCCUCGCAUGGGGGUGGGUGGAAAGUUCCGGCGGUAUGGGAUGAGCCCGCGGCCUAUCAGCUUGUUGGUGGGGUAGGGGCCUACCAAGGCGACGACGGGUAGCCGGCCUGGGAGGGUGGCCGGUCACAAUGGGACUGAGACACGGCGCAGACUGCGACGGGGGGCAGCAGUGGGGAAGCUUGCGCAGUGGGCGAAAGCCUGGCGCAGCAACGCCGCGUGGGGGAUGACGGCCUUCGGGUUGUAAACCUCUUUCGACAUCGACGAAGGGGCCCUGUUGUGGGGUUUUGACGGUAGGUGUAGAAGAAGCACCGGCUAACUACGUGCCAGCCGCCGCGGUAA
Molecule: ribosomal RNA, 493 nt
Filed under: uncultured bacterium
Lineage: Bacteria
Description: partial 16S ribosomal RNA
Rfam family: Bacterial small subunit ribosomal RNA
Source: RNAcentral